Molecule: long non-coding RNA, 711 nt
Filed under: Oryzias sinensis (Chinese medaka)
Lineage: Eukaryota; Metazoa; Chordata; Actinopteri; Beloniformes; Adrianichthyidae
Description: lncRNA (ENSOSIG00000015316.1)
Source: RNAcentral
AUGAGGACUCACCUGCUUUACUUUCUUUUGGUUCAGCUUUCUAAAGCCCACACUGAGUUGGUGUUACAGCGUCUGAUGGAGGGGGAGUCUGUGGGGCUCUCCUGCUUCCCUCAGAGGGAUCAUGGCUCUCUGGUGGGCCUCCACCUGUACCACCGCGGCGUCCAGAGCCAAACCACCCUGCUGUCUGUCGCCGAGGAUGGACGGGUCAGGGUGGACCCGGAGCUGAGGGCGCGUCUGAAGCUGCAGGGAAACCUUAACUCCUUGCAGAUCAACGUGAGCAUCUCCCACCUACGACCGAGCGACACUGGAGUCUAUGUGUGGGAGCUGACUUAUGGAGACAACAGCUCUGACUGGAGAGUCCACAGUGGGAGGACAUUGCUGCUGCUGGUUGAAGGGGCAGAGAAGGCGUGUCAGAGCUCCAACGCGCUGCUCUUGACCAUGGCUGCAGCUGCUGGCCUUCUUCUGCUCACACUCGCCUGGAUUGCUGCAGAAACAUGGGUGAAGAAGCAUCGUUAUCCUCACCCCAAACCUCAUUCUUCCAUCUAUGAGGAAAUGAGCAGGAAGCAGCGGCGCUCAGGAACCCCCCCAUGUAACCCGGACGCCCACCCGCAGCUGGAGGAAGCCAGCGCCCCCGUGUACGCCAACACCGACAUCCGACAAGCGCCGGACAACUACUACGCCUGUCCCCGCCUGCCCGCCCUCAGGCGCUGA